Molecule: long non-coding RNA, 325 nt
Filed under: Populus trichocarpa (black cottonwood)
Lineage: Eukaryota; Viridiplantae; Streptophyta; Magnoliopsida; Malpighiales; Salicaceae
Description: long non-coding RNA (PTRI_LNC004623)
Source: RNAcentral
ACCUGUCCAUCCGUCUCCUCCAAAACCUAUCAACGGGCACGAUCAAUCAUGACAAUCCAACGGUUUAUAUUAAAUCUAAGAAAACCACUACAUAAACAACACUUGCUCGACAGCUUACGUUACGAAAGAUACUCCAAACGCCAAGAAGCUUCGUUUUCUGCUCCGAAACGGUAGCGUAUUAGGGUUUUGGUUAGGGUUUGAAAGAUGGCAGAGCAUGAUAAGGACGAUUCAGUGGUUGAAUCGGUGACGGAGAAGAUAUCGGAGAAGACCCACGGCCAUGAUUCAUCAUCGGUUUCUGAUUCCGAUCACGAGAAAUCGAAAUCUA